RNAcentral lists this ribosomal RNA (460 nucleotides) under uncultured bacterium. Its description in RNAcentral is "partial 16S ribosomal RNA". It matches the Rfam family "Bacterial small subunit ribosomal RNA", at positions 338 to 795 of the family's 1533-position model. The record is from RNAcentral.
CCUACGGGUGGCAGCAGUGAGGAAUAUUGGUCAAUGGGCGCGAGCCUGAACCAGCCAAGUAGCGUGAAGGAUGACUGCCCUACGGGUUGUAAACUUCUUUUAUACAGGAAUAAAGUGAGGCACGUGUGCCUUUUUGUAUGUACUUUAUGAAUAAGGGUCGGCUAACUCCGUGCCAGCAGCCGCGGUAAUACGGAGGAUCCGAGCGUUAUCCGGAUUUAUUUGGUUUAAAGGGAGCGUAGAUGGGUUGUUAAGUCAGUUGUGAAAGUUUGAGGCUCAACCUGAAAAUUGCAAUUGAUACUGGCAGCCUUGAGUACAGUUGAGGUAGGCGGAAUUCGUGGUGUAGCGGUGAAAUGCUUAGAGAUCACGAAGAACUCCGAUUGCGAAGGCAGCUUACUAAACGGCCACUGACAUUGAGGCUCGAAAGUGUGGGUAUCAAACAGGAUUAGAUACCCGUGUAGUC